UGUGCUUCGCUAGCGCCAGGACUCGUCUCCCGCGGCGGAGGCGAGUUGACGAGGAUGGGGUGUGUCGAGGGUUCGGCGGAUCUCCCCACGGUUGGCCACGACCGUGAGCGGCCUGGCAAAUCCCGGGAGCGAUCCCGGGGACAAUACAGGCCAGGUGGCCUGA
Non-coding RNA from Hydrogenibacillus schlegelii, 163 nucleotides. NCBI's taxonomy places the organism in Bacteria, Bacillati, Bacillota, Bacilli, Thermicanales, Thermicanaceae. The record is from Rfam.